This 253-nucleotide ribosomal RNA is filed under the name uncultured bacterium. RNAcentral describes it as "partial 16S ribosomal RNA". It matches the Rfam family "Bacterial small subunit ribosomal RNA", at positions 524 to 776 of the family's 1533-position model. The record is from RNAcentral.
UACGUAGGGUGCAAGCGUUAAUCGGAAUUACUGGGCGUAAAGCGUGCGCAGGCGGGAUUGUAAGUCUGACGUGAAAGCCCCGGGCUCAACCUGGGAAUUGCGAUGGAGACUGCAAGGCUUGAAUCUGGCAGAGGGGGGUAGAAUUCCACGUGUAGCAGUGAAAUGCGUAGAGAUGUGGAGGAACACCGAUGGCGAAGGCAGCCCCCUGGAUCAAGAUUGACGCUCAUGCACGAAAGCGUGGGGAGCAAACAGG